This 438-nucleotide long non-coding RNA is filed under the name Vigna radiata. RNAcentral's name for it is "long non-coding RNA (VRAD_LNC001560)". Lineage: Eukaryota; Viridiplantae; Streptophyta; Magnoliopsida; Fabales; Fabaceae. The record is from RNAcentral.
GGGCUAUAGGUGUAGAAAUUAAUUUCUUUUAUUUCUUUGAAUUUGAAGAAAUUGGUUAGACGGGAGUAAGGGUAGCAUGGUGGCUGGAUCCAUUUUCUUUUCUUUUAGAAAGUAAGAGAUUUUUUUUUUUAUUUUAUUUUUGGAAAAGUACAUGUAUGUUUCGUUAGGUGCAGCACGCUAGAGAAUUUUAGGAAGCACAUGGCACGGUUUAGAAGCAUGCGACUUUACUUUUGGAGCUCCAAGCGCUGAUUUAAUUUUCACACAGCUACAUUCACUUUUAUUAUGGAGAGGAGACAUGAUUUUACCUUGGAGAAAAAGAAGUGCUUAUUCAGUUUAGAGAUGCAUCCGCCACCCAGAUAGACACACAUUUUCCAUUGGUUUAUUUUCCAGCAAUGUGACGCUAAAGGGCUGCACACGGUUUACUUCACAAGUUUUUUU